GAUGAACGCUGGCGGCGUGCCUAGUACAUGCAAGUCGAGCGAACGGACGAGAAGCUUGCUUCUCUGAUGUUAGCGGCGGACGGGUGAGUAACACGUGGAUAACCUACCUAUAAGACUGGGAUAACUUCGUGAAACCGGAGCUAAUACCGGAUAAUAUUUUGAACCGCAUGGUUCAAAAGUGAAAGACGGUCUUGCUGUCACUUAUAGAUGGAUCCGCGCUGCAUUAGCUAGUUGGUAAGGUAACGGCUUACCAAGGCAACGAUGUAUAGCCGACCUGAGAGGGUGAUCGGCCACACUGGAACUGAGACACGGUCCAGACUCCUACGGGAGGCAGCAGUAGGGAAUAUUGCGCAAUGGGCGAAAGCCUGACGGAGCAAUGCCGCGUGAGUGAUGAAGGUCUUCGGGUCGUAAAACUCUGUUAUUGGGGAAGAACAUAUGUGUAAGUAACUGUGCACAUCUUGACGGUACCUAAUGAGAAAGCCACGGCUAACUACGUG
RNAcentral lists this ribosomal RNA (497 nucleotides) under uncultured bacterium. RNAcentral's name for it is "partial 16S ribosomal RNA". It matches the Rfam family "Bacterial small subunit ribosomal RNA", at positions 28 to 507 of the family's 1533-position model. The record is from RNAcentral.